RNAcentral lists this ribosomal RNA (199 nucleotides) under uncultured bacterium. RNAcentral's name for it is "partial 16S ribosomal RNA". It matches the Rfam family "Bacterial small subunit ribosomal RNA", at positions 328 to 539 of the family's 1533-position model. The record is from RNAcentral.
ACGCUCGACACCUACGGGAGGCAGCAGUCGGGAAUAUUGCGCAAUGGAGGAAACUCUGACGCAGUGACGCCGCGUAUGGGAAGAAGGUUUUCGGAUUGUAAACCAUUUUAGACAAGGAAGAAACAAGACAGUACUUGUAGAAUAAGCUCCGGCUAACUACGUGCCAGAAGCCGCGGUAAUCUGAGCGGGCUGGCAAGGC